CGGGCUGUGGCGCAGCUCGGUAGCGCACGUGCUCGAAGGGGAGCCGUGGUCGUAGGUUCAAAUCCUGCCAGCCCGA
This 76-nucleotide transfer RNA is filed under the name Candidatus Saccharibacteria bacterium GW2011_GWC2_44_17. RNAcentral describes it as "tRNA-Phe". It matches the Rfam family "tRNA". Rfam says of the family: Transfer RNA (tRNA) molecules are approximately 80 nucleotides in length. Their secondary structure includes four short double-helical elements and three loops (D, anti-codon, and T loops). Further hydrogen bonds mediate the characteristic L-shaped molecular structure. tRNAs have two regions of fundamental functional importance: the anti-codon, which is responsible for specific mRNA codon recognition, and the 3' end, to which the tRNAs corresponding amino acid is attached (by aminoacyl-tRNA synthetases). tRNAs cope with the degeneracy of the genetic code in two manners: having more than one tRNA (with a specific anti-codon) for a particular amino acid; and 'wobble' base-pairing, i.e. permitting non-standard base-pairing at the 3rd anti-codon position. Lineage: Bacteria; Candidatus Saccharimonadota. The record is from RNAcentral.